CAGUCGCCGCGGGAAAACGAAGGGGGCUAGCGUUGUUCGGAAUUACUGGGCGAAAAGCGCACGUAGGCGGAUAUUUAAGUCAGGGGUGAAAUCCCAGAGCUCAACUCUGGAACUGCCUUUGAUACUGGGUAUCUUGAGUAUGGAAGAGGUGAGUGGAAUUCCGAGUGUAGAGGUGAAAUUCGUAGAUAUUCGGAGGAACACCAGUGGCGAAGGCGGCUCACUGGUCCAUUACUGACGCUGAGGUGCGAAAGCGUGGGGAGCAAACAGGAUUAGAUACCCCUGUAGUCCCUGUCUCUUAUAC
Molecule: ribosomal RNA, 301 nt
Filed under: uncultured bacterium
Lineage: Bacteria
Description: partial 16S ribosomal RNA
Rfam family: Bacterial small subunit ribosomal RNA
Source: RNAcentral